Camellia sinensis is the source of this 417-nucleotide long non-coding RNA. RefSeq lists it as uncharacterized. The record is from RefSeq and is a predicted model, not a curated record. Lineage: Eukaryota; Viridiplantae; Streptophyta; Magnoliopsida; Ericales; Theaceae.
CUCUCUCUCUCUCUCUCUCUCUCUCUCACUUGAACGGAGGCGACGAGAAGUGAUCGGCGUCGGCAACAGUGGUGGCUACUAGCUAGCGACGAUCGGCGAUCGACGACAGUGGCGGCAAGCGAUCAAAGCAUCGAUUAGGAGAUGGUGAGAACUUCAUGGCAUGACUCAUCCAUGAAUGACAUGUUGCUACUGUCCCAGGCUGUUGUAUGUUUGAAAUAGUUGCACACCAACCUGCAUUUUGAGCUCCUCUUCACCACUAAUCUCCUUCGCCAUCACCGCCAUCACCACUAUGACCUCUUAUCCAUCACCUUCACCACUACUGCCGCUCUCUCUCCUCUACCACAAAAUUAGUUCCUGAUUUUUAGUAACAAAAAAAAAGGGGUCGCAGAAAAAUAUUUUUCAUUGAUCACAAAAAAU